This 410-nucleotide ribosomal RNA is filed under the name Brookesia peyrierasi. RNAcentral's name for it is "partial 12S ribosomal RNA". It matches the Rfam family "Bacterial small subunit ribosomal RNA", at positions 771 to 1402 of the family's 1533-position model. The record is from RNAcentral. Lineage: Eukaryota; Metazoa; Chordata; Lepidosauria; Squamata; Chamaeleonidae.
ACUGGGAUUAGAUACCCCACUAUGCUAAGCCAUAAACACUUCUUUUACCUCGCCAGAGAACAACGAGCAAAAGCUUAAAACCCAAAGGACUUGGCGGCACUCUAUAUCACACUAGAGGGGCCUGUCACAAAAUCGACAACCCACGAUAAACCCUACCACCUCUAGCCAUCUUCAGCCUAUAUACCGCCGUCGUCAGCCUAUCUUGAAAAGAAAAAUAAUAAGCCCAAUUGCUACACACAAAAACGACAGGUCAAGGUGUAGCCAAUGAGGUGGUGCUGAUGGACCACAUUGUUUAACUUAAGCAAGACCAAAACUAUUUAAAUAUCUACUAAAGGUGAAUUUAGUAGUAAGAUAAACAAGAAAGUUUACCUAAAACUUGCUCUGGAGUGCGCACACACCGCCCGUCACCC